This is a long non-coding RNA of Microcebus murinus (gray mouse lemur), 1363 nucleotides long. RefSeq lists it as uncharacterized. Lineage: Eukaryota; Metazoa; Chordata; Mammalia; Primates; Cheirogaleidae. The record is from RefSeq and is a predicted model, not a curated record.
AGAUAACCCUACAAAACCCCUUCAGGCCUUUGGCACCAUACACAAGAUAUUUUUACCAACAAAAAAAUCAGCUUAUAAAUUGUAUUUUGGCAGCAGAGGUACUUUACUUGUUCCGUAUCUGUCUAAAAACUGUCUUGCUACUAGCCAGGGUAAUUUUUUUCCUCUUUCCUUUUUUCUCUGCAGUGCUUCUAAGUAUAGUGACAGCGCAUCAGGCUUUCCUAGUCUCAGCGCAAGCUCAGUGAAAAUCUGGGAAAUGUAAGUGGAAACAUGAGAGAGCGCUUUAUUUGGCAGUGCUUAACAAAAAAAAAAAAAAGGGGCAGGACAAAUGGCAAAGCAGUGUUUGGACCGCAGGAUGAACAAUCAAUAGGCAGAAAGCAAGAUUGAGGCUUCCUCAGCUUUGGGAUCGACAAUCGACAGCUGAGAGACUAUUUUUUGCUAUGGUUGACUAAAUAUGGUCAGGGAAGAGAGAGGCACAAGAGAGCCUGUUUGCCUGGGAGUGCAUGUUUCAAAUGCUUAGCCGCCUAUAAAGCUGUAACAGUUUAGCCUGUGGGUCACUGAGGGAAGAAUAUAAGUUAGUCUCUGUAGUGACCAUGUGGAAGUCCUGACCUCGCUUGCAGACUUGACCUCUGGAUAUGACCAGGUGAGGUUCUGUGUUCACUGAUACAUUCCCCCUUACUUCACUGGCUCAAGAAAGAAGUGCUGAAUCAGCGAAUAGAAUGAGCGAACAAUCAAGAUGAGAUGGCUGCUGCUGAUGUGAUUCUCUAGGUCAUUACCUUCCUUCCUGCUGCAAAUGCUGCAUAACACUAAGCUUACAGGACCUAGUAGCAAGCUAUAAAAAAGAAGAAAUUCGCUCUGAAGAUAAUGAAGAAAUACUAAGCUGAUUUUACCAGUUUCUGAAAUACACUGUAAAACUCCACUGAUUCUUUGAAUCACUUGCAAAAAGAACCAAAUCUGGACAAACCUCAACAGAUAAUUGGUCAAAUGUUUACAAAUAUCUAUGUCCACCAAGAACAAGGAACCAUAAAUGGCAUUAAUGCCAUGUUUCAGGUAAACUUGUUAUAAAGUAUAGUCACUGAUUAAAAUAGUCUCUGCAAAUGAUCUACUAUUGCUCUAUAUUGGUAAGCUGAAUGUUUUACUAACAAAUGGGAAAAUAAAAUAUUUCAUGUUUUUACAGCUAAUAAUUUAUAAUACCUACUCAGAGUACAUACUUCUUUAUGUACCCAUAUGAACAUACAAUGCUAUGGAAUGUAAAGAAGUAUGUAUUUUUGGUAGGCAAUAAACCUCCAAGAGAGAAUUAAACUGCAGCUGAAAGAAGCCCUUGCUUCUUUCUACAUGAAUGACCUUCACAUGGUAAAUUAACCUA